CUUUUUCCUAGGUCGGCUUCUAGUUCUCUUUCUCAAGAUUUGCUGGUAUUCUAUUUCUUCUCCUCCUACUUGUUCUUGGUCUCCCGGGUGGAUAAUGGUCGCGAUGUUGUGCUUCUUGUUAUCUUUUUCUCUUUGUUUAUGUGCCUUCUCUUUUGCUUUUCUUAUUCUUCUUUGUUUCCCAAAUUGGGGAGAGCGGCGCUGCUUCUGGGUUCUUUACAAGGAGGCUAUGAUGAUUCUUGCUCGAGGGUUUCGCUACAAUUGAGAGGAAAGCAGUUAUUCUCUUGACGGCAAGGCAAUCUUGCAGGCAACUAUUUGCAAGCCAUUUUGAUUUAUUAGUUGCAGAUCAAUCGGUGAAUCAGAGCCCCCCUCUCCAUCUUCCCCUUCCCUCUCCAUCUUCCCUUCCCUGCUUUCAAAUUGCUGGGAUUUUUGUUUUCAAUAUUCUUUUUACGGUUGUGUUUCCGAGAGAUUUUAAAGUAGAUUUAGGUGGAGAGUGUAGGAAGUGGGGAGAUCUUGGUCAAAGUCUCUCUCCCUCUCUCCCUUUUCUUCAGUAUAUCUUCAAAAGUUUUGAACUUGGUUCAGAUAUUUUAUUUUGUCAACUUUGCUUUAAGUUCUCUCUGGACUUGAAUAAUAGUGAGAUAAUAUUUUGAUCGGUGUUUGUUCAAUCUAGAUUUGGUAUUCUUGGUUGUUGGUGGGACUCCAUCUAAUUUGGUUCUGGAGGUUAUGUUCUAUAUUGUUUCGAUGUGCUUUCUCUCCCUUUUUUCAAUUGUUGACGUUCUGGCAUGUGAAAUGAUCUCUGACAUUCUAAAUCCAUGGGAAAUUCUAAACCAUUGAGCUUAAAAGGUUGCUAUAUAGGAUUUCUUUGGAUGCUUAUUUCGUUAAAUGCUAUGACUAGUUCUCUAGUUCUGCAUAGAAAGAGUUUGGAUAUUUUAUUGCUUCUAUAUCUCUCGUCCUGCUUGGUUGUUGUACAUAAAUUUAUGCUGGUUGUUGUUUCGGUUGGCUGCCAUUGCUUGCUCCGUUUGAUGACACGUAAUUGAUGGUCAUCAAAUUUUGAGCAAACUUUUUUUGGGUCCGGUAGUCUUGGUGAUGCAAUUGGUUGUCCACCUGCUUUAAUAUGUUGUUGUAUGCACCACAUUUGUGGAAUGCCCGAACAUCUAUUUAAUGUUGGCAUUAUGUGGUUCUGUAUGCUGUUUUUUGCCGCUGUGACUGAGACACAUAUAACUUUAGUAUUUUCAUGGAUGGAUUAUUGUAAUUUCUUUGCGUUUGUUACCUCUUGCUGUCAACUUUGAAUGAUAUGAUCAACCCUUUUUUGGUAGAUGCUGUCUGUAGGUCCCUGUUGGUCUAAACUGUGGAUGAAAUGGUCUGCUAGUUGAUUGCACUCUCUGUCAUUGUAUUUGUCUUUGAUAAAUAGUUAAUUUUCGGACCAACAAAUUUUUUUUUUGGGGCUAUGAUAAUGUGCAUUUUGUUGUUUUAAUUCAUUUUCGAUAAGCAUUAUUCAUUUGAUCUCACCUAAGUUCAAUCUUCACGUGAUGCUGCUGGCCUUAAAGCAUUCACGUCAUAAGUUAUAUUAAUUGCAGUUGUGUUCAAAGUUUUUCCGUUCCCUUUUUUAUUUUUAUCAUAUCCACAACUGAAGUGACAUAUGUCACGCCCCGGACCCGGAUCCGUGACAUGGCCGUGCUAUUGCCGACUACCGCCCACAAUAGCACGAAGCCUCAUACAUGGGUAACAGGGUAGUCAGACUUGUCAAACUGUCAUAUAUUUAAAAUAUUUGCCGUGUGUCAUAUAAGGUAGUAUAGGGUAUUUCUUCUUCCAUCUCUGUGCCAGAGUCUUUUUUCCUCUGUUUUACUGUUGAAACAGAGGGGAGAAACAUUCCACAGAGGAACUUUCCCUCUUUUUAUUUUGUUUAAACCCAUUUAAGUAAAUCAGGUCAUAUCUUGCUCCGGGUUGGCUACAGCCGAGCAGUACACCCUUCAAGAAAUCCCUCCUUCCUCUCCUAGGGCUUCAGAGGUUCAGCUCCAUCAACCUUCGGCUCUAGGGUUCGGCUUCUCUGGUACAGUACCCGAGAGGGCUAAGGAAUAAGAGGGUAUAGUAACUCCUAAGUUAAGAAACUGAGAGUUUAAAUAAACUCUGCUUAGGAGGUGACCCUUGGAGAGGCGGCACCCUCUCCUUCCUCCUUACUCCGGAAGCCUACAGAUGCCCUUUCCCUCAGGCCAGCUGGGCUUGUCCUUUCAACCUGGGUGAGGUGGCAGACUCCCAUUUUGCAUGGAUGAGGGCCCAACAGCUGGUCUUCCCCCCUAUUGGCCAGCGGGGGCCCGUCACUUCAGUCCUCAGGCGUGAGGUGAGGGUUGCCAUCCAUGGGCCCAAUACGGCCCCAUUAACGACCGAGCCCAAAUACCCUUAAACUGGGCCUCAGAAGUAUUGGGCCCAGUUAGUAUCAGGCCCGGAUGUUACAAAAUCCAUGGGAAAUCCUAAACCAUUGAGCUUAAAAGGUUGCUAUAUAGAAUUUCUUUGGAGGCUUAUUUCGUCAGAUGCUAAGACUAUUUAUCUGGUUCUUCAUAUUAAGAGUUUGGAUUAUUUUAUUGCUUCUAUAUCUCUCAUCUUGCUUGGUUGUUGUACAUAGAUUUGUGCUGGUUGUUGUCUUAGUUCGCUACCAUUGCUUGCUCCAUUUGAUGACAUGUGAACGAUGGUCAUCAAAUUUUGAGCAAACUUUUUUUUGGUUCCAUUAGCCUUGGUGAUUCAAUUGGUUCUGGAGGCUAUGUUCUAUAUUGUUUCAUUGUGCUCUCUCUCCCUCUUUUCAAUUGUUGACGUUUUGGCAUGUGAAAUGAUCUCUGACAUUCUAAAUCCACGGGAAAUUCAAAACCAUUGAGCUUAAAAGGUUGCUAUAUAGGAUUUCUUCGGAUGCUUAUUUCGUUAAAUGCUAGGACUAGUUCUCUAGUUCUUCAUAGAAAGAGUUUGGAUUAUUUUAUUGCUUCUAUAUCUCUCGUCCUGCUUGGUUGUUGUACAUGAAUUUAUGCUGGUGGUUGUUUCGGUUGGCUGCCAUUGCUUGCUCCGUUUGGUGGCACGUAAUUGAUGGUCAUCAAAUUUUGAGCAAACUUUUUUUGGGUCCGGUAGUCUUGGUGAUGCAAUUGGUUGUCCACCUGCUUUAAUAUGUUGUUGCACGCACCACGUUUGUGGAAUGCCCGAACAUCUAUUUAAUGUAGGCAUUUUGUGGUUUUGUAUGCUGUUUUUUGCCGCUGUGAUUGAGACACAUAACUUUAGUAUUUUCAUGGAUGGAUUAUGGUAAUUUCUUUGCAUUUGUUACCUCUUGCUGUCAACUUUGAAUGGCAUGAUCAACCCUUUUUUGGUAGAUGCUGUCUGUAGGUCCUUGUUGGUCUAAACUGUAGAUGAAAUGGUCUGCUAGUUGAUUGCACUCCCCGUCAUUGUAUCCGUCUUUGAUAAAUAGUUAAUUUUCGGACUAACAAAUUUUUUUUUUUGGGCUAUGAUAAUGUGCAUUUUGUUGUUUUAAUUCAAUGUUCAAUAAGCAUUAUUCAUUUGAUCUCACCUAAGUUCAAUCUUCACGUGAUGCUACAGGCCUUAAAGCAUUCACGUCAUAAGUUAUAUUAAUUGCAGGUGUGUUCAAAGUAUUUCUGUUCCCUUUUUUAUUUUUAUCAUAUCCACAACUGAAGUGACAUAUGUCACGCCCCGGACACGAUCCGCGACACGGCCGUGCUAUUGCCGACUACCGCCCACAAUAGCACGAGCAGUACAACCUUCAAGAAAUCCCUCCUUCCUCUCCUAGGGCUUCAGAGGUUCAGCUCCUUCAACCUUCGGCUCUAGGGUUCGGCUUCUCUGGUACAGUACUCCAGAGGGCUAAGGAAUAAGAGGGUAUAUUAACUCCUAAGUUAAGAAACUGAGAGUUUAAAUAAACUCUGCUUAGGAGGUGACCCUUGGAGAGGUGGCACCCUCUCCUUCCUCCUUGCUUCCGAAGCCUACAGCUGCCCUUUCCCUCUGGCCCGCUGGGCUUGUCCUUUCAACCUGGGUGAGAGGUGGCAGACUCCCAUUUUGCAUGGAUGAGGGCCCAACAGCUGGCCUUCCCCCCGCUGGCCAGCUGGGGCCCGUCACUUCAGUCCUCAGGCGUGAGGCGAGGGUUGCCAUCCAUGGGCCCAAUACGGCCCCAUUAAUGACCUGGCGCAAAUAUCCUUAAACUGGGCCUCAAAAGUAUUGAGCCUAGUUAGUAUCGGGCCCGGACAUUUAUUCUUUCCCUCUUAAAUAAAUUUCAUCCUCGAAAUUAAUCAUGCCUCAAUUUUUAGGUAUGCAGUGUAAUUCUCUAGAAAAACUGACUGAAAUAAAGAAAUGUGAAUAGCCAGAAUCAAACAAAAUCCAUGGUAAAUCCUAAACCAUUGAGCUUAAAAGGUUGCUAUAUAGAAUUUCUUUGGAGGCUUAUUUCGUCAGAUGCUAAGACUAUUUCUCUGGUUCUUCAUAUAAAGAGUUUGGAUUAUUUUAUUGCUUCUAUAUCUCUCAUCUUGCUUGGUUGUUGUACAUAGAUUUGUGCUGGUUGUUGUCUCAGUUCGCUGCCAUUGCUUGCUCCAUUUGAUGACAUGUGAACGAUGGUCAUCAAAUUCUGAGCAAACUUUUUUUGGUUCCGUUAGCCUUGGUGAUUCAAUUGGUUGUCCACCUGCUUUAAUUUGUUGUUGCUCGCACCACGUUUGUAGAAUGCCCCAACAUCUAUUUGAUGUUGGCAUUAUGGGGUUAUGUAUGCUAUUUUUUGUCUUUGUGAUUGAGACACAUAUAACUUUAGUGUUUUCAUGGAUCGAUUAUAGUAAUUUCUAUGCUUUUGUUGCCUCUUGCUGUGAACUUUGAAUGAUAUGAUCAAGCCUUUCAUGGUGGAUGCUGUUUGUAGGUCACUGUUGGUCUAGACUAUGGAUGAAAUAGUUUGGUCAUCUCAUGGUCAUCUCAUCUUAUAGGGGCUAGAUUCGUGAUUUUCUGUGGAAAUUGUCUUCGAUAAAUCCUAACCAUUGAUGUCUCUUUAGCAAGCAUAUCUGAUUGGUGGAACAGCAUGCUCAAGUUGAAAAACUGUUCGAUUGCAGUAUUUCUUGAAGUUUGUAAGUAUAUUUUGAUUUAUUUGCCAGCAAUUUAUCAGAGUAUUACUUUUAUUGCUUAAGGCUGUGAUUUCUUGAAUCAGAUUAACUUUUUGGUCUGUUAUUGACGUUCAACAAGCAUCAAUAGUGCUGGACACCAAUUUUUAGACUAGUAUACUAGAUUAAAUUAUCCAUUUGUUGUGGACCUGUUUUGACCAGAUCUUGAUUUGAAAGCAUUGGUAGGUUGUGAGUUGAGAGGGAACCCUCUUGAGUAAUAUUUAGAUUUGCAGUAAACCUUAUUUAUUUGUUGCAGUAGACCUGUUUAUCUAAUGCUGGAGAUUAUGUGAACUUGUCAUGUAAGACAUAAGGUUCAAAAUGGUAUUAUAAUGGUUCCAAGAAUUAGGAGCAUGGGCGAGCAUACAAUGUGACGGAUAAUCGCCUUCUCAAAGAGCUGGUUCUUUUAUGUUGGUAAACACGGCUCAACCUUCCACCUCUUCUUUCUCCUAGCUUUCUACUUGAGAGAGGAGGUGAGCAUCUAUAGUGAUUUCUCAGUUACCCUUCAAGCAUUGUUCCUUCUCCUUUUCUUCUUCGCUUUAUUGUGUAUGGAUGUAUUUAUGUAUGAAUAUUCAUGCAACAAGGGGUGACUUCUAAAAUUGUUCUUCUCUUCUUUGCAUGCCAUCUUCUCUAGCAAUAGGCGAGACAUAUAUGGAAGGUCUACUACAUUGCUGGCACCCGAUCUGCAUUCAUUGUAAGUUGGAGAGGUCAUCACCAGAGGAGAAGAGGUGCAGGGAUCUUCUCCUCUUUUUUGCGUGCAUGUAUAUUAAUGAGAUGAUGGGCAAGUUGUGAAAUUUCUCCUCUUCUUUGCGUGUCAACUUCUCUAGCAAUAGGCGAGGAACUUCUGGAAGUGGUGAAUUUGAGCCUCUUCUUCCUUUUCCCUUUUUGCCUUUCAAUUUCUUGUUUUUUGAAGAUUAUAUUUUUGUAGCACUUUUUUAAUUACAUAACUGUAAUUAAAUAUUUUUUGAUGUAAUUUUUCGGUUGUUCCUGAAGAAUUCAUUGGAUUUGGAGGCUGAUGAUAGUUUCAAGAUAAAGAUGGUAUCGAUAAAGGGGCUUGAUUCGUGAUUUUCUGUGGAAGCUGUCCUCGAUAAAUCCUAACCAUUGAUGUCUCUUUAGCAAGCAUAUCUGAUUGGUGGAACAGCGUGCUCAGAUCUUGAUUUGAAAGCAUUGGUAGCUUGCGGGUUGGGAGGGAACCCUCUUGGUUCACGUAUCCAAAAGCUCCAAAAAAAUUUGGAACCGGUACGGGCCGAUACGGUUAGCCGGUUCGGGCCGGUACGGGUUUUUAACACCGAACCAGACCGUUCGGAGCCAGUAUCGGUUCGGUACGGGCUGAACCGGCCGGUACAGCAUUCCUUGCUUUUUUGUUUGUAUGGAUGCAUUUUUGCAGGAAUAUUGAUGCAACAAGGGUUGACUUCUAAAUUUGUUCUCUUCUUUGCAUGCCACCUUCUCUGGCAAUAGGCGAGGCAUUUUUGGAAGGUCUACUACGCUGCUGACAACCAAUCUGCAUUCAUUCUUCUCUAGCAAUUGGCGGGGAACAUCUGGAAGUGGCGAAUUUGAGCCUCUUUUUCCUUUUCCCAUUUUGCCUUCUAAUUUCUUGUUUUUUGAAGAUUAUAUUUUUUUUAAGGCUUCUUUAAUUACAAAACUGUAAUUAAAUUUCUUCUGAUGUGUUUUUUCUGCUGUUCCUGAAGAAUUCAUAUGAUUUGGAGGCUGAUGAUAGUUUCGAGAUAAAGAUGGUAUCAAUAAAGGUUGGGAGGGAACCCUCUUGGUUCACGUAUCCAAAAGCUCCAAAAGAAUUUGGAACCGGUACGGGCAGAUACGGUUAGCCGGUUCGGGCCGGUACGGGUUUUUAACACCGAACCAGACCUUUCCAAGCCAGUAUCGGUUCGGUACGGGCUGAACCGGCCGCAAUAGGUGAGGCAUUUUCGGAAGGUCUACUACAUUGCUGGCAACCAAUCUGCAUUCAUUGUAAGUUGGAGGGGUCAUCACCCGAGGAGAAGAGGAGCGGGGAUCUUCUCCUCUUUUUUGUGUAUAAUUUGUAGGAUUUGGAGGCCGUUGAUAGUUUCGAAAUAAAGAUGGUAUCAAUAAAGGGUGUAGCCAUAUCCGCUGAAGUUCAAAUGGACCAACAAUAAGCAUAUGUUGGUUGACUCUGAUUUAUUUUUGGAUCUGAGAUUGACUUGUUACAAAGCCAAAUAUCGUGUAUUCUAGGUAAAUUUUCUGUUUUGAUUUCUUAGUACUCACUUCUCAGCUAUUGUUGGACCCUAUGCUGCAGCAAAAGUCCGAACUUUUUGGGUGAAGAUGACAGCAUCUUUACUCAUUCCUGUGUUAUCCUUCAAAUGAACUAUUUCUACUCCUGGUCAUCUCAUUUUAUAGGGGCUAGAUUCGUGAUUUUCUGUGGAAGCUGUCCUUGAUAAAUCCUAACCAUUGAUGUCUCUUAAGCAAGCAUAUCUAAUUGGUGGAACAACAUGCAAAGGUCGAAAAACUGUCCGAUCGCAGUAUUUCUUUAAGUACGUAAGUAUAUUUUGAUUUAUUUCCCAACAAUUUGCCUUACUAUUACCUUUAUUGCUUAUGGCUGUGCUUUCUUCAAUCAGAUUGGCUUUUUGAUCUAUUCUUGAUGUUCAACAAGCAUCAAUAGAGCUAGUCAUAUUUUAGAUUGGUAUACUAGAUUAAGUUAUUCAUGUGUUGCUGACCGGUUCUGACCAUAUCUUGAUUUGAAAGUACUGGUAGGUUGUGAGCUGGGAGGGAACCCUCUUGAGUCAUAUUCAGAUUUGCGGUGGAGCACGGGCAGGCAUACAAUGUGACGGAUAAUCGCCUUCUCAAAGAGUUGGUUCUUGUAUGUUGGUAAAAAAGGCUCAGCCUUCCACCUCUCCUGCCCCCUAGCUUUCUUCUGCUCUUUUUUGUGUAUGUAUGUAUAUUGAUGAGAAGAUGGGUGACUUGUAAAAUUGCAGUUCUCUUCUUUGCGUGCCAGCUUCUCUAGCAAUAGGCGAGGAACUUCUGGAAGUGAAUUCAUAGGAUUUGGAGGCUGAUGAAAGUUUUGGGAUAAGGAUGCUAUAAAAAAAGGUAAUUUUUGGUCUUGCAUGGAUUCUGUCAUCCUUCGUUAUUCUCUUUUUUCCAUCUUUUCUUCAAGUAAUAGUGUGAAAAAAGACGAAGUGGCUUGCUUAGAGGCCAACUAGUGCUGGCGAUAACUUUAAGUUCCAUUUUUGCGCUUCCUUUAUGUAGGAGUUGCAGAAGCCGAGGUAGAAAUUUCUCUAGAGUUGGUAUUAACUAGGGUAAUCUCUUUGGACUUUCCCAUGAUGAUGUCCUUAGUCUUGGUAACAGUUAUCCAAUCAAUCAAUUAUUUAUUCUGGUCCUUUGUCUACUUUUAUUUUUCCUGAUCUUGCUACUUAUCUCUGUAUAUCUGGUGGUAAUUUGAUUCACUUGUAAACUUUUAUGCUUCAGAGGCCUGGAUCAUACUCUAUUGCUAUGUGGUGGUCUAUCGGUUGCUGCUGCAGGAAUUUCUAUACAAUAGUUUGAAUUUGAUUUUCCACUACAACUGUUCAUGAAAUACUCUUUCCUUAUAAACUUAUUACUAUUGUUUGACUACUAGAAUUAUUCCGAAUUUGUUUUUUAUAAGAUUCACUUCUAUUUAUUUGCCCCUUUUUCUUCAUAGCUAUUUAUUUGCCCCUUUUUCUUCCUAGCUAUUUCGUAGUAUUAUUUGCUAAUCAAAUUGGAAAGGGCGGAAAUAAAAUAUAAAAAUUUUAUGCUUUGCAAGUUGGAAGGUCCAUUGUUCUGCAGGCUACUGCUGCAGCCUAUUGGAGACUGGACAAGAUUUUUGGAUCGCUAUAUGCCUUUCCUCCUACUCAACUCUGUAUACCAUUUCUUUUCCUACUCUUCUGUUGGUUGAUUUGUUCAUUAAAUAUUGCACUUUAUUCUUUUAUUGACAGCUUUUGAAUUUAUAUGUUAAGGCCAUUUUCUCCAGAAGGUUGUGAUGAUUCUUGGACCCGGGUUUUGCUAUGAAAGGAAAGCGGCUAUUUUCUUGACGACGAGGCAAUCUUGGAUUUGGCAUUCUUGGCUGUUUGUGGGACUCCGUUUAAUUUGGUUCUGGUGGUUAUGUUCUAUAUUGUUUCGAUGUGCUCUCUCUCCCUCUUUUCAAUUGUUAAUGUUCUGGCUUGUGAAAUGAUCUCUGACUUGCUAAAUUCAUGGGAAAUCCUAAACCAUUAAGCUUAAAAGGUUGCUAUUUAGGAUUUCUCCGGAGGCUUAUUUCGUUAAAUGCUAAGACUAGUUCUCUGGUUCUUCAUAUAAAGAGUUUGGAUUAUUUUAUUGCUUUUAUAUCUCUCAUCCUACUUGGUUGUUGUGCAUAAAUUUGUGCUGGUUGUUGUUUCGGUUGGCUGCCAUUGCUUGCUCCAUUUGAUGACAUGUGAAUGAUGGUCAUCAAGUUCUGGGCAAACUUUUUUUGGGUCUGUUAGUCUUGGUGAUGCAAUUGGUUGUCCACCCGCUUUAAUUUAUUGUUGCCCGCACCACGUUUGUGGAAUGCCCCCGCAUCUAUUUAAUGUUGGCAUUAUGUGGUUCUGUAUGCUGUUUUUUGCCACUGUGACUGAGACACAUAUAACUUUAGUGUUUUCGUGGAUGUAUUAUUAGUAAUUUCUGCGCGUUUGUUACCUGUUGCUAUAAACUUUGAAUGAUAUGAUCGACCCUUUCUUGGUAGAUGCUGUUUGUAGGUCACUGUUGGUUUGAACUGUGGAUGAAAUGUUCUGCUAGUUGAUUGCACUUCUAGUCAUCGUAUCUGGCGUUGAUAAAUAGUUAAUUUUUGAACCAACAAUUUUAUUUUUUUGGGCUAUGGUAAUGUGCAUUUUGUUGUUUUAAUUCAAUGUUCAAUAAGCAUUAUUCAGUUGAUCUCACCUAUGUUCAAUCUUCACGUGUUCAAUAAGUGGUUCUGUAUGCUAUUUUUUGCCUUUGUGACUGGGGCACACAUACAACUUUAGUGUUUUCAUGGAUCGAUUAUAGUAAUUUCUAUGCUUUUGUUGCUUCUUGCUGUCAACUUUGAAUGAUAUGGUCAGGCUUUUCAUGGUGGAUGUUGUUUGUAGGUCACUGUUGGUCUAGACUGUGGUUGAAAUAGUUUGGUGUUGGAGAUUAUGUUCUCUUCAGCAGCGAUUGAGCGAGCAGCUCCGGAAGGUCUGCUGUUCCGCAGACAAUUGAGCAGCAACAAUCGUUCGAUGGGGGGAGGAGAUUAAGAGACACUAUGGGAUCUUUUCCCCAGCUCGGCUUCUAGUUCUUUUACUCAUGAUUUGUUGGUCUUCUCUUUCUUCUUCUCCUUCAACUUGUUGUUGGUCUCCCGGGGGGGUAAUUGUUGGGAGUUGUAUCCUACGUGUCAAUCGUCAGCGUGUUGAUCUCUUAUAUUCAUUGUUGGGAAUUGAUUGAUAAAUUAAUAAAGUGUUAUUUGGCAUUAUUCAUCA
This is a non-coding RNA of Phoenix dactylifera (date palm), 10537 nucleotides long. The record is from RefSeq and is a predicted model, not a curated record. Lineage: Eukaryota; Viridiplantae; Streptophyta; Magnoliopsida; Arecales; Arecaceae.